RNAcentral lists this transfer RNA (82 nucleotides) under Thrips palmi. RNAcentral's name for it is "tRNA-Ser". It matches the Rfam family "tRNA". Rfam says of the family: Transfer RNA (tRNA) molecules are approximately 80 nucleotides in length. Their secondary structure includes four short double-helical elements and three loops (D, anti-codon, and T loops). The record is from Rfam by way of RNAcentral. Lineage: Eukaryota; Metazoa; Arthropoda; Insecta; Thysanoptera; Thripidae.
GCAGUCGUGACCGAGUGGUUAAGGUGACUGACUAGAAAUCAGUUUCCCUCUGGGAGCGCAGGUUCGAGUCCUGCCGACUGCG